This is a long non-coding RNA of Xenia sp. Carnegie-2017, 651 nucleotides long. RefSeq lists it as uncharacterized. The record is from RefSeq and is a predicted model, not a curated record. The transcript is spliced from 2 exons. NCBI's taxonomy places the organism in Eukaryota, Metazoa, Cnidaria, Anthozoa, Malacalcyonacea, Xeniidae.
CGCUUUCUCGUUGUAAUUUAUGUAGUUACUCGGAGUUAAAGGUACUUUCCAUCUCCAUUUCUUCGUUAUAAAAUGAAAUCUUGAAGAUGCCAGAAAAGGAAUGUUUGGAGAAUACCCCAAGAGCUCCCAAAUUGCUGAAUGGUUAUCAGAAAUAUGAGAGAUUCAAAUGUUACCAUAGUUUGUAAUUGCCGAGCCAAAGUAGUAGCUUCACUGUUCCUUUGGUCAAAUUGGAUGUACGAUGCAGGAAUAAAUGUAAGCAGCAUUAUUAUAGCAAAUGCAUAAAAGGAAAGUUUAUAGUCAAUAUGUUCCGGUACAUUGCAAUGUGAUUGUUCUUUAACAGUGCUUACUAGAGAUCCAACAAAAAAUGAUGAAAUACCCCAACCUAGUGCACCCCACUGACGUUGUUUUCCGUAAAACUCCCUUUUCUCACCUGCAAGAAUAUAUUUAAAAUAAAUUCAACAUUUAUCAAAUUCAUAGACAUUAGCAAACUCAUUUUAUGUUCUUUUGUGCAUGAUGGCAGUUGAAAAAAUCUGCCUAGCUCAUUGUUGAUAAAAACUUUCUAGGUUAUUCAUUUAAUGCAACUACAUUGUACUACAAUUUAUUGUAACCUUUAAAAAGUAACUCAAGAAGAAUGAACUUUUUAAAGUUAAA